Molecule: ribosomal RNA, 440 nt
Filed under: uncultured bacterium
Lineage: Bacteria
Description: partial 16S ribosomal RNA
Rfam family: Bacterial small subunit ribosomal RNA
Source: RNAcentral
CCUACGGGUGGCAGCAGUGGGGAAUAUUGCACAAUGGGGGAAACCCUGAUGCAGCGACGCCGCGUGAGGGAAGAAGGAUUUCGGUAUGUAAAGCUCUAUCUGCAGGGAAGAAAAUGACGGUACCUGAUUAAGAAGCACCGGCUAACUCCGUGCCAGCAGCCGCGGUAAUACGUAGGGAGCAAGCGUUAUCCGGAUUUACUGGGUGUAAAGGGAGCGUAGGCGGCAGCACAAGUCAGGAGUGAAAUGCCGGGGCUUAACCACGGAACUGCUUUUGAAACUGUGCAGCUAGAGUGUAGGAGAGGUAAGUGGAAUUCCUGGUGUAGCGGUGAAAUGCGUAGAUAUUAGGAGGAACACCAAUUGCGAAGGCGGCUUACUAGACUGUAACUGACGUUGAUGCUCGAAAGCGUGGGGAGCAAACAGGAUUAGAUACCCCUGUAGUC